Molecule: long non-coding RNA, 4961 nt
Organism: Siniperca chuatsi (mandarin fish)
Lineage: Eukaryota; Metazoa; Chordata; Actinopteri; Centrarchiformes; Sinipercidae
Exons: 3
Source: RefSeq, a predicted model, not a curated record
CCCAAAUUGAUUUAACCAUCAAUGGCAGCAUCCAUUUAAGGGCUGCUAGUGCUCUGGCCCUGGCUGCCCAAAUGCAGCUGAAUGCGCAUUGAGCCCCCUUUUGCUCUCUUUCCCACCAUUGGGUAUCAAAGGCUAUUGUGUCCAGAGAAAGUAGAGGGGUCACCCAUUUACCCCCUGUGGGUCAACCACGAGCUGGGACAGAGGGCAAAGUGAAAUAGCAGAGGAAGGAGAGCGGCAAGGGUGAGGAGGUCCUGAAGUGCAACAUCAGGACAGAGCACUUCCAGUUGUCGGUGCAGGAGGAGAUAAGUAUGUGUGUGUGGCUCUGACGUCAAUGCAGCCAUUUAAUAUGGCACACAGAAAAUAUUUGGAAUCCGAGGCAUCUGUGUGCUGUUAUCACUGGAAUGGAUGUUCCUGUUUGGGCCCCGGCUUUCUCUCCACAGUUGGCUCCCUCCCCAAGGAUGUGUUUACCAUGGCUGGAGUCAACCCAAGGAAGUAGAUUCUUUUCUUCACAACUCAAUACCUGCAGUUGUUGUUCUUUUCUUUUCCUCACUGUAAUUCUCAUGUGUAGUCUAAGAAACAAAAUAAUCAAGGAAAAUUAAAACCCUUGCGCAUUGGUGAAUUUUCAGUGGUUUGCAACAGAGAUGUCACAUGACCCGCCUCCAGACCUGGCCAAUUGCUGGCUUCAAAGGGCUCCAAAAUCAGCUUGUUUAUUUUGGCUUUUUACAAUGUAACCAUAUCUGCAGAACACCUCUGAUCCAGUUUCACUUUUGUUUGGCUGGAGCACACUGAUGCCCGGGAAGAAGCAUAAAAUGAAUACUCUUUCUGCAGUAGCAUCAGUAACGCUUGGCGGUGUACAGCAAAUAAGAGACCACUGGGUUCUGCACUGUUUGAUAUUUAGAGAAAGGAGGAGAUUUGAAUAAUGCGAUUAGGGAUGAGGUAAUACUACGCUGCCCUGCCAGGUGUAAGAUCCACUGAUACACAGUCCAGGAUUAACACAGAUGUGUUUUUCUACUUGUGAGCAGCUGUGAAAAGAGAAAGCUGACAUGCUUUCUGUGUUGAGAGCGGAUAUGUUAAAAUGCUUGGGGCGAGGAGGUGAAUGGAAUUUCAUUUGUGGUGCUCACAGCUUUAGAAAACCACACUGAAAAAUAACAUUAAAAACAAAAUCUAUUUCCUGUAAUAGUGUCACUAAGACCCCCUUUACACCUGACAUUAAAAUACGUUUUGGGUGAUCGGAUUGAAAUCGGAUAGUGCUUGACCACAUGAAAGUACAGGUGUAAAUGCACCCAAGACGCACUGAGGACGGAUUGUGAUCCGAUUGGCCCAACCACCCCCAGGACAUGGUCAGGGACGCUUUGUGACCACAUUGAACACAAGUGUAAAUGCAAAUGCAUUGUCAAUCCACGUACAACAACUGCAUGGGAGAAAUACGUACUGGUCGCAGUCUCUGCAAAUGAAAGUUUGAAGGUGCAUACAGGCAGCGUUGUGCAUGAACGUGCUUAAAGAGUGCCGUUCAUUGAACGUGCUCAUGUUUGUGGUGAACGGUGAACUGAACAUAUCCAUUUGCGAACAUGAACUGAGUUAAAGUCAAUAUAAACUACUAAAAUAACAGAAAGGUGUGCACAUUAUGAAGAAAGGUAGCACAAGGAAACGAUGCCAUGUGGCAAACUUAAGUGUUACUUUUACUUUUCUCUGCGGAGCAAUUACAUCGGUGCAGCGCUGAAGAAUGAGGGAAGCCGGCUCAGAGAUGGUUUACAAAGUUAUUAUACAGUCUAUAGUUAUAGAGAAUCUUUGGCCGGCGCAUUAAGUUAAGUCGGAACACCUGUGUGGACACCCUGCAUCUCAGCAGAGAGAAAUAAAGAUAAGAAAGUAGUGUUCAGCUUGCAGUUUACCCAUAAGAACACGAGCCAGCUGCAAAGUUCCUUCACCCAAAUCAAACUCACAGCAUUUUGUUGGGUUUUUGCAUAUGAGAGGAGAAUGUGACAUAUGGUUGUUUGCGCUGGACAGAGCGAUCGGAUCUCGAUCGGAUCUCAAUGUGGACACUGGACAUAUCAGGUUAAAAUCAUAUCUAGAUACAAUCUGGAUGCGAGACGCAUUUCAAUGCCAGGUGUAAAGGGGGUCUGUCACUCAUUAUCCACAGUCCUCACUGUGUUAAUAGGGACUGUUUCUUUAGUAUAAUGUAGCUGUGAUAACUGUUGACAUUGAGGUCUGUAGAUUUUCCAGAAUAAUUUUGGGUUCAUGUCAUAUCGUUCAGGCCGUAACGGGAAAAACAGUUCAUGUCAGCCUCCUAGCUGCAAUUCCAAGUCAGAGAUAUCUCCCACUUGCCAAAAAGCACUACAGAAGUGUCAACAUGUCAGCAAAAUGGCUGCAAAGCCACCAUCGCUAAUAUCACAAUAAAAUCCAAUAUUAACUCUGAUUCAGUCGAUUCAACAAAUUAAAAAGGAGCUAUAAACAGUUUAUUUUGUUUAGUUUCACUUAACAAACUGCUUCAAAUAUGUAAUGCAAUAUAUUUAUAUUGUCUGACUACAGGGCUAGGCAAUUAUCAAGAGCCACACAUACAUUCUUCGCAGGUGCUGGGUAGCAAUUAUUCUCAUGUCCAUGUAAAAUAAAAGAGGAACUGGGAAUGAGACGGCAGUGUGUGGCUAUUUUUUCAUUUUUUUGUGACUACAAAAAUUUGGAUUACCAUCUUGGAAUACUGCAUGAAUGCUCCAUGUUGGAAGAAUAUUCCUAUAUAAGAGUAUUCCUAUGCUUCCUGUUCUGUGAAUGCUGCAUAAAGGCCCAGUCACAACAUAAUUUAAAAUUCAUUCUGCGCAAAUCUGUCAUGUGGAGUUCAACUUUGGUGAACUUUGUCACACAAAUUUGUGCAUUUGCCUAAUAGCAAACUGUCUUGACAGUGCUGAGCUUUGAGGGAACAGAAAGUUGGAGAGUUGUGUUGCAGCAUUUGCUGAUGAUUUUCCUCUGCCAGUGCUUAAACUGCUCCACAACAGAGACAUGGUUCAAUCAUGAGACAGGUGUCAAUGGUACAAAUACUGCACGUCUCGAGUAAACCAUGUGAACUUGUGUCCCAUUAGCGACUGAAGUAGCCAGUUAGCAAUCUAGCUAGCUUGAAGAGCUAUUGUGACUGACUGGUGCUAGCAUGUUUCAUGGCUAGCAUGUUAGUGGUUAGCUCACCAGCUACACUAGUUUACCAACAAGCCCUGUGCAUACUCACUACGCCACCAAGCUUCUAGCACCGGGGCUUAACUGGGACACUGUUUCUGUUUGAGUACUGUGAGCACCAGAAAUAAAAUGUCAUACACCUAACUUGUACUGGGAUGGAGGCAGAAAGAUGUAGAUAUCUCAAAAACUGGACAAAUUAAACUAAAACAAUUUGCAAGUCUAGAUACUAUAGAGGUAAAUUCGUUAUUUAUCAGAAGGGCGGGUGGCUGGGUUGUGACUCCGUUUUUUUAUUAUGAUCCUCCCCGGAGCUACAAAUAUUUUUCCUUGAGCCUCCCUGAAUGACUGGGGGAAAAUGCAUGGCCCUCCCUCCACCAUAAAUAACCAUAUUUUACUAUAUUCACACCAAGGUAGGUAGUAUUGAAGAAAAUAAAAAGCAAAGCCUGACGUUUUCCAACCAUUACGUUUAAUAGCAAACCGUGACUCUCAUCUUCCCUCGUCGGGAAAAAAUUCAAACUACCAGUCCAACUUACGUUGUCCUUUACUAUAGUAGCUAAAGUUACCUAUGACAAUUCCAGCUCUGAAACAAAAAAUAGACGCUAACUUAGUCCAGCCAACGCAACGAGCAAAGAGCACAAAGGGAGUGAGAGUUAUCACCAGUAGGCGAGUGGAGGGGGGGACGAGGGGGGAUGCCAUCCCCCUUGUUAGCAAAAUGGCCGAUAUCUGCCCCCCUUAUUAACCUGCUCAAAAGAUGCUCUGUGCUUCUUGUAGUGGCGCUUUGCAUUGCCGCUUUUAAUAGUCGCCACAAUUUCGGAACAUUUGAGAUAUAUUGGUUUUGAACUGCCUGUGGGAGGAUUGACCAUGUAAUAGUCUGUCCAUUCUUGAUUUAAAGCUAAAGGUAGUAAGUGCAGCAGCAGCAUGACAGAGGCCAUGUCAGAGGCAACAACAGGGCUUGGACCAAAAGUGCUCUUGAAUCCUAAACCUUUUCUUUGCUGUUCUCACUUUUAUUUUUUCAAAUGAAACUUUGUGCUGCAAAUUGAGUGUUUAUUUGACAAUAUAACGUAAUAAUUAUACAUUAUUUCAGAGUUUAGUAAAUGCCCCUGAAAAUCAGUUCAAGGGGUAUUGAGCCAGAACAGGGGUCUGGUUGCCACGAACAAAUAAAGGCCGGUCCCAAAUACAAGUCAGGGGAAAUAAAACAAGGGUGAAUGAACUCCUGGUGCCUGUCAUAUAAUGCGCAUGCCAACUGAACAUAAUGUACAUUUCCAUCACUUUAAUUUGAUAAAUUCAACAAUAUAAUCAUGUUAUUGUCAACACUUUGUUGAUCUAAAGUGAUGCGAUUGGCUGGCCUGCAUUAUCAUCCAGGCAGAGUGCCUCUUCAACCCCUGUUCUUAGAAGGACACAGCCGUGGACAGCUGCAAAAGGGAGAGUUAGCAACAAACCUCCCCAACAACCAAGUGUGCAACUGCAGAACAAAUUUGCUCCACUGUUGCAGGACCCUGGAUCUCUGUCUGAUGACCUGGAUAACCCCUCAUCUUCACACAACAGGGACAAGAUACAAGAGGAAUCAAAACACGAAGAAAACAUAACAGAGUGGCAGAAACCAGAAGGAGAGCUACACUGACAAGAACUUUAAUCAUCAGCGACAUCAGAGCCGAGAGGAAGAGUCUCCAACCCCCUCACCAACAACCACCGUCUCCAGAUUGUGCCGCUCUAUCUCCCGGCUCCAGUCCAUCUCGUAUCUCCUGAGUGUGCUGCUCCGAAUCCUGGCUCCCGUCUGUCUCCUGUGUCCGGAGCUCCUGUGUGUUCCU